Molecule: ribosomal RNA, 254 nt
Filed under: uncultured prokaryote
Description: partial 16S ribosomal RNA
Rfam family: Bacterial small subunit ribosomal RNA
Source: RNAcentral
UACGGAGGAUGCGAGCGUUAUCCGGAUUUAUUGGGUUUAAAGGGUGCGUAGGCGGCUUUUUAAGUCAGCGGUGAAAUUUUGCAGCUUAACUGUAACAGUGCCGUUGAUACUGGGGAGCUAGGAUUUGGUUGCUGUGGGUGGAAUGUGUGGUGUAGCGAUGAAAUGCUUAGAGAUCACACAGAAUAUCGAUUGCGAAGGCAGCUCACAAAGCCAAGAUUGACGCUGAGGCACGAAAGUGUGGGGAUCAAACAGGA